This 478-nucleotide ribosomal RNA is filed under the name Globigerinoides ruber albus. RNAcentral's name for it is "SSU rRNA". It matches the Rfam family "Eukaryotic small subunit ribosomal RNA", at positions 1189 to 1462 of the family's 1831-position model. The record is from RNAcentral. Lineage: Eukaryota; Foraminifera; Rotaliida; Globigerinidae.
CUUAAUUUGACUCAACACGGGAAAUCUUACCGGGUCCGGACGUAUCGAGGAUUGACAGAUAGUUAUACAUGCCCUACAAGCAAGUAGGAGUCAGGUUUUAAACCUAAUGGCUCUUUCAUGAUUAUAUGAUAGGUGGUGCAUGGCCGUUCUUAGUUCGUGGAGUGAUCUGUCUGCUUAAUUGCGUUUCAAAUUUUUAACCGAGGACCGGGUUUUGGUUUGGCUAGUGGUCCUACGAUGACUGUGAACUGUCAUGUCUUCGGAUGUACGACUAUCGGUCUAGGAUCACAUGACUUGCCCCUGGGACUCUUUUGAACGCAACGGACGUGAUUGCAACCCCUUGUUGAGAUUAGAGAUAGUCUCGAUAUUCACUGGCCAAACUGGCUGCUUUAUGCAGUCUUGUUGAAUGGUGGAUAAACUCGGGGGACUGCUGACUAUAACCAUUUCUCAAAACAGAGGAAGGUUGCGGCAAUAACAGGUC